CGAGUCUUAAUUGGGCGUUAAGUUGCAGGGUAUAGACCCGAAACCCGGUGAUCUAGCCAUGGGCAGGUUGAAGGUUGGGUAACACUAACUGGAGGACCGAACCGACUAAUGUUGAAAAAUUAGCGGAUGACCUGUGGCUGGGGGUGAAAGGCCAAUCAAACCGGGAGAUAGCUGGUUCUCCCCGAAAGCUAUUUAGGUAGCGCCUCGUGAAUUCAUCUCCGGGGGUAGAGCACUGUUUCGGCUAGGGGGCCAUCCCGGCUUACCAACCCGAUGCAAACUGCGAAUACCGGAGAAUGUUAUCACGGGAGACACACGGCGGGUGCUAACGUCCGUCGUGAAGAGGGAAACAACCCAGACCGCCAGCUAAGGUCCCAAAGUCAUGGUUAAGUGGGAAACGAUGUGGGAAGGCCCAGACAGCCAGGAUGUUGGCUUAGAAGCAGCCAUCAUUUAAAGAAAGCGUAAUAGCUCACUGGUCGAGUCGGCCUGCGCGGAAGAUGUAACGGGGCUAAACCAUGCACCGAAGCUGCGGCAGCGAACGUAUCACC
This 545-nucleotide ribosomal RNA is filed under the name Salmonella enterica. RNAcentral's name for it is "partial 23S ribosomal RNA". It matches the Rfam family "Bacterial large subunit ribosomal RNA", at positions 678 to 1221 of the family's 2925-position model. RNAcentral also lists the same sequence under 1 other name. Lineage: Bacteria; Pseudomonadati; Pseudomonadota; Gammaproteobacteria; Enterobacterales; Enterobacteriaceae. The record is from RNAcentral.